Long non-coding RNA from Macrobrachium nipponense, 607 nucleotides. RefSeq lists it as uncharacterized. The record is from RefSeq and is a predicted model, not a curated record. The transcript is spliced from 3 exons. NCBI's taxonomy places the organism in Eukaryota, Metazoa, Arthropoda, Malacostraca, Decapoda, Palaemonidae.
CCAGACCUCUACAUAGCCUACAUGUCUUCAUUUUGCUGAAGGUAAGGAAUUCUCAGUUGUGUUUAAUGUUUGCAUACGUACAAUAAAUUUUGUACACCUAAGUGGUUACAUACUGUCCUUUAAUAUUAAUUCUUCAUUCCAGACUGCCCAUCAUCCUAGCCUAUUAUCUGUGAUAAAGCACACUGAAGUUAGGUUUGGAAUGCAUCCUUAUCAUGAAUGCUCUACACCUCCACCUCCAUCUCCCACAACCUAGGUAACAGCUUUGAGACUCACUAAAAGUUGAGUCCCCUGAAUGAUGUAGGCUAUGGGGCCACAUAAGACUUUGUCCAUCCAGGGUUACAUUGAACGACAACUUUAAACUAAAAAACCAACAUUUUUCACACAACUCCAGGUUGUUACUAACAAAUUACUACAAGUGUCAUCAAGGGAUAACUACAAGUAGAAGCACCAUUUUUGGAUGGAAAAAACCCUUCAGGAAAGUAUACGUAUCACAUGUAACAUGUAGUGUAACAAAGUAUGAACAGUAAGGUUUUUACAUACAGUAGUAUUACAUACGUACAUAACUUUUUUUUACAGGAAUUUCCAACCAAGUUUGAUUAUGUACAUA